RNAcentral lists this ribosomal RNA (201 nucleotides) under uncultured Spiroplasma sp. RNAcentral describes it as "partial 16S ribosomal RNA". It matches the Rfam family "Bacterial small subunit ribosomal RNA", at positions 399 to 594 of the family's 1533-position model. Lineage: Bacteria; Bacillati; Mycoplasmatota; Mollicutes; Entomoplasmatales; Spiroplasmataceae. The record is from RNAcentral.
GCGUGACUGAUGAAGGUCUUCGAUUGUAAAGGUCUGUUGUAAGGGAAGAAGUUCUAGAAUAGGAAAUGAUUUUAGUUCGACCAUACCUUACCAGAAAGCCACGGCUAACUAUGUGCCAGCAGCCGCGGUAAUACUAGGUGGCAAGCGUUAUCCGGAUUUAUUGGGCGUAAAGCGUGCGUAGACGGUUUUGCAGCCUCUGAG